GGAAGUAAGACAGAAAAGUAGAAAACCUUGUUCUUCAGUGUGCUGUGUAAAAACAAGCCAGGAGACUCUAUCCACUGAUGCAACUUCUGAUCUCUAAAUGCUCCACUUGUCAGUGCCCUGCUCUGCAGUGGUGUGGGGGAAGGCACGGUGCUUAUUCUAAAGUGUGAAGAGGCAUCCAGUUCCCAGACUCAGAAUGUAAUUGUGCCAAUUCAAGAGCACGUGCAACACAAAUCAAAGACCUGGAAAGUGUUAAUUUGCAGGCCUGAUCCAGGGCAUCUCCAAGUGUUCCAGGGAAGGCUGAAAGGAACAGGUUUCACUUUGAGCUUUGUAACACCUUACCAGGUGUGUAAACUGAUAACUCAGAUUAAGUUGCUGAGAGUUUUUCUUAUGUGUCCUGU
Motacilla alba alba is the source of this 398-nucleotide long non-coding RNA. RefSeq lists it as uncharacterized. The transcript has 4 exons. The record is from RefSeq and is a predicted model, not a curated record. NCBI's taxonomy places the organism in Eukaryota, Metazoa, Chordata, Aves, Passeriformes, Motacillidae.